This 301-nucleotide ribosomal RNA is filed under the name uncultured bacterium. Its description in RNAcentral is "partial 16S ribosomal RNA". It matches the Rfam family "Bacterial small subunit ribosomal RNA", at positions 509 to 809 of the family's 1533-position model. The record is from RNAcentral.
CAGUCGCCACGGUAAUACAGAGGGUGCAAGCGUUAAUCGGAAUUACUGGGCGUAAAGCGCGCGUAGGUGGUUUGUUAAGUUGGAUGUGAAAUCCCCGGGCUCAACCUGGGAACUGCAUCCAAAACUGGCAAGCUAGAGUAUGGUAGAGGGUGGUGGAAUUUCCUGUGUAGCGGUGAAAUGCGUAGAUAUAGGAAGGAACACCAGUGGCGAAGGCGACCACCUGGACUGAUACUGACACUGAGGUGCGAAAGCGUGGGGAGCAAACAGGAUUAGAUACCCGCGUAGUCCCUGUCUUUAUACA